CAUGGGAAACAGAGUCCAUCUUGACUGCGUCUGAGCACCAAGCAUCACUGAUGUAAAACACUGAGUCCACCUCCUCCUCUUCUUGAUGUAAUGCAGUGGAACAUUCUUAUCGGGGCUGCAAGGACAUUGGACUCUAGUAGUAAGUGCACUUUAAUCAAUGCAAUGAAUGCAACUAUUUUUAACUCCUGAGGAAAAGGCCAUCUAUCCAAAGGAAGGACGAGCUCUGUUUGCAGACCUAUUUGGAGCCACUUCCAAUCACCUAAAAAAUUGCAGCAAAUCCAGGAUUUAUUGUCAUGUGUUUCAUAUGGGCUUUUGUGCAAAAGAAAAGUAAAAAAAAGUCUUUAAACCCUGUCAGCAGGAUUCCACAUCCUGUAGCAGAGCUACUGUUGUGGAAAGGUGGUUGCAUAGACUUUGCUGCAGACGAGGUAGGCAUCAACUCCAUUCAAAGAGAAAUGGCCAGGAGACUGAUGGAGGAUUAAGGGAAGCUUCAAUCAAUUGUAAAGUUUGCCUAAACUUAACCCACUUUGAAAUUGGCAUAUCUUUUAAUAGACAACCUGACAGAACUGCGCUGCAUCUGUCUGCAAAGAAACAGUGAAAGGGACACCCCAGAGGCACCUGUGGAUCAUUGGUUAGGAGGCUUUUAAAUGUAUUUCCAUGCAGCAAAGCCUAAUGUGAAUGUGGACUUUUUUUUGUCUGGCCUGCUCACCACCACAUUAAAUGGUCGCCCUCUUCGUUCCUGUCUCCACCUGACACUGUGGAGUCCUUCCACUUGCUGGGCACCAUCAUCGCCCAGGACUUCAAGUGGGAUCAACAUCAGCUCCCCCACUAAGGAAGCCCAUAUACCAGAGCAUAUACUGCUGGUAUAUAAUUCUCUGACUAAACUCUUUCAUCAUGGAUUACAUAUUCCUGGAGUAGGAAUUUUUUAGAGGAGGUUAAAUGCGUUGAACU
Molecule: long non-coding RNA, 948 nt
Organism: Micropterus dolomieu (smallmouth bass)
Lineage: Eukaryota; Metazoa; Chordata; Actinopteri; Centrarchiformes; Centrarchidae
Exons: 3
Source: RefSeq, a predicted model, not a curated record